UUUCCGUAGGUGAACCUGCGGAAGGAUCAUUAUUGUAUAACCGAGAUGCGAGGGCUGUCGCUGACCCGAAAGUUCGUGCACGCCCGAGUGCCCUCACACACAUCCAUCUCACCCCUAUGUGCACCACCGCGUGGGUCCCCCUUUGGCUUGUUCGGAGGGGGGCUUACGUUUUCACACAAACUUUGUAUGCAGUGUAGAAUGUAUUUUUUGUUUUUGCGAUCACGCAAUCAAUACAACUUUCAACAACGGAUCUCUUGGCUCUC
Molecule: unclassified non-coding RNA, 263 nt
Filed under: plant metagenome
Description: partial contains small subunit ribosomal RNA, internal transcribed spacer 1, and 5.8S ribosomal RNA
Source: RNAcentral